Molecule: non-coding RNA, 303 nt
Organism: Vicia faba (fava bean)
Lineage: Eukaryota; Viridiplantae; Streptophyta; Magnoliopsida; Fabales; Fabaceae
Source: the annotation of a GenBank genome assembly
AUGGCGGUCAACAAGAAGACCAAAGAAACAAUCCCUAGAGAUUUAAGUAUGUUGUUUGACAUCUGGACGAUCGCAUCUUCCUCGGUUUCCGCUUCCUCUUCAGCAAAACCAAAUCAGAACCUAAAUGCAAAAUAUGGACUUCGCCGUAAUUUUGCUGAGAAAUCCAGAGAUCUUCAAGUCUUUGUUCAGAUGAAGGUGGUGACAUUGAUUCUCGGAGAAAGGUUAUCGAGUAGAAUAUGCGUUGAAGGUGAUGGAAAAUGGAGCUUGAAUGCAGAGAGAGUUGAGAGUGAAGGUCGAAGAUGA